CUUUAUUUAGCGACGCUAGCCCCGACAACUACAAAAGUUGAUUUCCAUGGGGGGCGUCGAUAUAAAAAAAUAUUACAAAGAAUAUAAACAGGAAGGAAACUAAGGCAACUACAAUAUGUACAUUAUCAAAAGCUACGGUAUAAACAACGAUGGUGUGUCUCAGAAUAAAUAUAUGAUUAAGUGAAUCCAGACUCGGUUAUUAACAUCAAAAAUUUUGUUUUAUACAUCUUUUAAAUAUAUAAAUAGAUUUUAAAUAUAUACAUCUUUGAUUGGUUAAGUUAUGGAUUUUCAAUUUCAUAUUGGACUUUGUUUCGUCUCCCUUGCAGUUAAUGUUUGUUGUUCUUGGGAACGAACGAAACAAUGAGCGCAUGCGAAGAAGACAAGACCUUAUGAUAUUAUCAUGUUGUCCCGGCGUAUAUGCACUUGUCUAUAUAUAUAAUAACCUCAGAACAGCUGGUCGGGAUAGAGUUUUCAUAUCAUGCAUGCGCUAUGCUUUCUUUUCACCUUCCUGGGAAUUUUAGAAUUUUCCCAUGGAAAAGUUCCGGACCAUUUAAGGAUACCCUACUUCGUACCUUUCAAAAUCGUCAAGAGAAAUUCAUAUAAUAUUUCGUUUUACGUUUACUUGCAAUUGUCUGUAAAAGGUAAUAGUUCUGAUAAUUCAAUGCUCAUUCAAUAGUAUAUCUUCUGUUUUAGUGAAAGAACAGAAGAGAACAAAUAUCAAAGUUUAAUUGAUGUAAGUUCUCCGUCGGCGUCCAAAAAUGAUUCUAACUUCAACGUGGUAACCAUAGAGGAAGUAAUUGAACCAGUUAGCGAAGGAAAUGCAGGAAGUUCUGAGACGACGGAUCGAAAUUGUGAGAUGGAAGUCUCUGUUGGCAUGGGUAGACCAGGUUAUGUUGAAAGACUUCGUGAAUCUUUCCUGCGAAAGAGUUAUAAUUAAAUUUAGAUAACCACAAAUUAAUGAAAAUGACGAAUUAUUAAGCCACGGUGGUACUGUAUGUAAUUUGCUGUACAUUGAUCAACUGCUGACGGGUCCCAAUUAUGAUGAAUUCAGUCUUAUUCGCAAUAUUCAUUACAAGCUUGUCAUGAAUUAUAUAUCCAACAUCUUAUUUUCUGAAUACAGGCCUCCAUCGCACACAUAGCUUCUUCCUGAGUUGAACCAGUGCACUUGUGUGUCGUCAGCAUGCAUAGCCAACAAUUUCGAGACAUAUAUAUGAUAAUUACAUGUAAUAUGAUGUCCCUAUUUAUAUACAAGUCUACAACUAAUUAAUUAAAAAUACAAUUAAAUACAUUAUAUACAAAUUGUUCUCCCAAUAUACAGCCGUUCAUAAUGAUUUUGAAUCUACAGGGUGUCCUAAA
Non-coding RNA from Paramuricea clavata, 1356 nucleotides. NCBI's taxonomy places the organism in Eukaryota, Metazoa, Cnidaria, Anthozoa, Malacalcyonacea, Plexauridae. The record is from the annotation of a GenBank genome assembly.